This 1278-nucleotide long non-coding RNA is filed under the name Salmo salar (Atlantic salmon). Its description in RNAcentral is "lncRNA (ENSSSAG00000121819.1, ENSSSAG00020080021.1)". The record is from RNAcentral. Lineage: Eukaryota; Metazoa; Chordata; Actinopteri; Salmoniformes; Salmonidae.
CCAAAUAGAGACAUAACACAGCUCUCUAAGGUCAGGGCGGUCAGACAUGGGUGGCUGUACACAGAGUCCUGGAGGUCAAGUGUCCUUUCAACUGGGCACAAGACAACAGCACUCUAGACGACUGGCUACAGAACAAGAGAGGGCAUCUGGCGCAGCUGCAGAUGUUUGUGAAACAAGAACUGAUUUCAUCACGUGGACCCCCAAACAAUGUGUAAUUGUCCGUGUCCCGUGAGAUGAUGACUUCCUCACCAAGGCUCUGGACACAAUAAACCGAUUCUGGGCCAAGUAUAUCUACAACAAGAUGGUUGGCACAGCCCAUUUACAAGGAGACAGACUCCAGUCUACAGACAGUCCAGGGUGGAAUACAGUGCAGAGAGGAAGAAUGGGAAGCUGGUACAUGAAGAAAAGUUAGGAAUAGAGUAGUUCAGUCGAAGGACUCAACCCUGAAUCAUGUAAUCGGUCUGGUGAAGAAAAAAAAAAAGAUUGGCAUUUCAGGACCCUUUUUAGGCAUCCCUUUGGCUGUCACAUUCAUUUGUAUUCUUGUAAACAACACUAUCAGACAUGUUCACCAUUGCAGCACAUACGUGUAGUAUGUUGUCAACCAUCGUCUCUUCUCGCUUGUCAACUUCAUCCCUAAGGGUUCUUCAAGAAGCACAGUGGAUGUUCCCCAUGGAGGAUAUGGAAUAUUCCCUUCAGGACACCGUUUCACCCUCUCUAUAGAAUAAGAAUCACCUCUAAUCGCCAUGUACAUACAUUUGACCUGGUGAAAUGGUGCUACAGUGUAUACAAUAGACAGAAUAUGGACAGAACUUACCCAUAGUCUAAUUGUAGUACAUACACAUAAUACACAAUAGUAAGUAAUUUAAGUAAAAAUGUAUACAAUGUAAAGUGUGUGGGUGCAAAUAGCUAAUGCAGUUGAUGAGUUGUCAGAGAUAUACACUGACUGUACAAAUCAUUAAGAAAACCUGCCAUGACAUACACUGACCAGGUGAAUGCAGGUGAAAGCUAUGCCAUCUUAUUAAUGUCACUUGUUAAAUCCUAUUAAAUCAGUGUAGAUGAAGAGGAGGAGACAGGUUAAGCACCUUUGAAGGGGGUAUGGUAGUACGUGCCAAGUGCACCCUCAGCAGUUUCCUGUGUGUAUCAAGAAUGGUCCACCACCCAAAGGGCAUCUUAGCCAACUUGUCACAACUGUGGAAAGCACUGGAGUCAACACAUACCAAUAUGAAUCCACCUCUUUAAGACAGCCAAGAUCUGAAAUCACAACAAAAAACAAACAGC